AUACGGAGGGUGCGAGCGUUAAUCGGAAUUACUGGGCGUAAAGGGUUCGUAGGCGGUUAUUUAAGUCAGAUGUGAAAGCCCCGGGCUCAACCUGGGAAUUGCAUCUGAUACUGGGUAACUAGAGUUUAAGAGAGGAGUGUGGAAUUUCCGGUGUAGCGGUGAAAUGCAUAGAGAUCGGAAGGAACAUCAGUGGCGAAGGCGGCACUCUGGCUUAAAACUGACGCUGAGGAACGAAAGCGUGGGUAGCAAACAGGAUUAGAUACCCUAGUAGUCC
Molecule: ribosomal RNA, 274 nt
Filed under: uncultured bacterium
Lineage: Bacteria
Description: partial 16S ribosomal RNA
Rfam family: Bacterial small subunit ribosomal RNA
Source: RNAcentral